CUGAAGAACGCAGAGAAGAAAACUCAAACGCAGCUUGGAGGAAGCACUGAAUGAGCCCUCCAUCUGGUCGCCGUUCUUCAACGUUCAGCCACCGGUGCCAUUCGCAUUGCUACAGCUUCGGCAGAACGUCGCCAUUGUUCGCCACGUGUCUACCUCCUUUUUGGCCAAGCUUCUGCCUCUGUUUUCUGGCCGAGCCUUGUUCUGCCCUUUUUGGCCAACCCUUGUUCUGCCUUUGUUCGAGUUGCUUAGCCUUCUGUUCAGCCUCUAUUCCGCCGCCUUUCAGCCACUGUUCAGCCAUAGUUCAACCAUCUCCGUCGCGUUUUAAAGCUCCCCCCUCUCCCUGUACUGUUUGAAUUUCAGAACUGCUCUAUCCUAGGAUGGUAGAAAAAAGAAGACU
This is a non-coding RNA of Arachis ipaensis, 397 nucleotides long. NCBI's taxonomy places the organism in Eukaryota, Viridiplantae, Streptophyta, Magnoliopsida, Fabales, Fabaceae. The record is from RefSeq and is a predicted model, not a curated record.